Long non-coding RNA from Monodelphis domestica (gray short-tailed opossum), 1724 nucleotides. The record is from Ensembl. Lineage: Eukaryota; Metazoa; Chordata; Mammalia; Didelphimorphia; Didelphidae.
CUCCCCUCUUGGAGAAAGUAAGCAAUGUAAUCUGGAUUACAAAUGUUAUAGUGCAAAUAUACUUACACAUUGUUUAUUGUUAUAAAAGAAUACUGGUAUAAAACCCCAAACCCCAAAAUAAAACCAUAAAUAAACAAAUGUGAGAAACAAAAUGUUUACAAAGGCCUUCUUGCAGAAGGUGGAUUUUAUCUGAGAACUAAAGGAAGCCAAGGAAGCUAGGAACAAGAUCAUUUUGUCAUUUUAUUUAUAGUCACAGCGCUUUGCCUGGGUUUGACCCAUAGAAAGCAAUUAAUAAGCUUUUCAUUCCUUCCUUCCUAGAAAUUUAUUUUUACUGUUUUCUAGGUGAUCCUGAUUUUUUAAAAGUCCAUCAAUGAAGGAACAAGGUUUUAGGGUAUAGCUACAGGAAUUCAGGACCAAGAUCAUCAGUUUCUGUUCCCCCUCAUUCUUCAGUGAAGCUUCAGGGCAACCUGCAUGGAUUUUAAGCUAGGAUAUGAGGAGGGAAAAUGCUUGUUCCCUGCCUUACUCAUCACUUGUGCCAUAGUCAGCCAUAGAUACAACACUCAUCAUCACUGUUUUCCAACUGAAUGUGCAAUAGAAAGAGGUCCUCCUUCUGGUUAUGCGGUAUGACUAAGGGAGAGUGUCGGCCUCCCUCUGGGCCUCAGUUUCCUCAUCUGUACAAUCAGACAGUUGGCAUGGAUUGACCUAUGAGGUCUCUUCUACUUCUAGAUUUAAGAUUUUAUGACGAUUUCUAACAACGGGAAGAAACUGGCGUCCAGAGCAUGAAGCAGAUUAAAUCUGGGGUCCCGGUUAGGAGAGAGCCUCAAAUUAGGGGCUAAAGGAAGGGCCUCGACAGGCCAUCCAGAGAGUGAUUUCCUCUCUCCCCCAAGUCUCGGGGGAAAGCGCAGUCUCACCACUGAAAAACAGAUCCAGCGCACGGCAAUAGACGGGGUAAUCGAGCCUCCCGGACCCCAGCCCCGGAAGUGACGCAACCGCGACGAGCCAUUUCCGGCUCAGGCGUCGGCGGCGUUUGCCGGAGGAAGGAGCCCGAGGGAGUCGCGUCGGUCUGAUUCCCUACGCCGCCGGUCCCUUCCUUCUAGUCCCCCGUCUCGCCCCGGCCUGGCCUGGCCCGGCCCGGGGCACAUCGGCCGCGGGGACCCCGGCGCCCGGAUGGAAAUCAUACGGUAUAGAGUGUUUGGGUGACAUCUACUUGGCAGAUCUUCAAGAAACUCUGGUACUUGGUUUUUAUUUUAUUUAUUGUGGUGUUUAACUGUGAUGAAUAUUAGUAGGUUGUCCUACCCUUUUAUCAUGUCUAUUAAAAAUCAAAUGUAAAUAUAUGUCAGAUUGAAUUGCAUGCCAGCUUGCAGGGGUGGGGUGGGGGGGCGGCAGGAAGAAGGGAGGGAAACAAUUUGAAUCAUGAAAUUUUAUGUGGAAAUUUGCCCUCAAAAAAAAUGAAUGAAUGAAUGAAUGAAUGAAUGAAUGAAUGAAUGAAUGAAUGAAUGAAUGAAUGAAUGAAAUGUAACAAUCAAUCAAAGAUACAAUCAAAGUAGAGCUUGAUAAAAAUGAAAUCACAGGUCUAGACUGGGGAAAAAACAAAUUCAUAAUGCCCAGAGUAAGUCGUUGGAAAGGAGAGCUAAGUGAACUGGUGGGUAUUCUUUGUAAUUUGUAUACAGAUCUUUCUAGUGCUAUGAAAUAAAGAAGGUUGGUAACUUUUAGGUUCCUAACUC